GCAGGAUGAUGAUGUAGCUGACCUAUCAUGGAGGAGCAGGGGUGAUGAUGUAGCUGACCUGUCAUGGAGGAGCAGGGUGAUGAUGUAGCUGACCUAUCAUGGAGGAGGAGGAUGAUGAUGUAGCUGACCUAUCAUGGAGGAGCAGGAUGAUGAUGUAACUGACCUAUCAUGGAGGAGCAGGGGUGAUGAUGUAGCUGACCUAUCAUGGAGGAGCAGGAUGAUGAUGUAGCUGACCUAUCAUGGAGGAGCAGGCUGAUGUAGCUGACCUAUCAUGGAGGAGCAGGGUGAUGAUGUAGCUGACCUAUCAUGGAGGAGAAGGAUGAUGAUGUAGCUGACCUAUCAUGGAGGAGCAGGAUGAUGAUGUAACUGACCUAUCAUGGAGGAGCAGGGGUGAUGAUGUAGCUGACCUAUCAUGGAGGAGCAGGAUGAUGAUGUAGCUGACCUAUCAUGGAGGAGCAGGAUGAUGAUGUAGCUGACCUAUCAUGGAGGAG
This 491-nucleotide long non-coding RNA is filed under the name Salmo salar (Atlantic salmon). RNAcentral describes it as "lncRNA (ENSSSAG00000116180.1)". The record is from RNAcentral. Lineage: Eukaryota; Metazoa; Chordata; Actinopteri; Salmoniformes; Salmonidae.